ACUUGAUUCAAAUGCCUAAUCCUUUUUAGUUAAGUUUCCUGGGACAAAUAACCUGGAAGGACUGUCACCACUGAAACUUCAAGUUGUGUUCUUUAACCUACAUUCUUACCUAUAGGCCUAGGUAGGCGUUCAAUAAACAUGCGUAAGUCUACUACUAGUCAUCCCCAAUGGGAGUAAUUAGCACUGUCUUCUUUGAUUUGAAAGAUGCUGUCCUUUGAGUAUGAAGUUAUGUUGAUAUGUAAUUGAUGGAGAAUCACCGUUUAUUAGAGUGUUCUGAUCCACGGCCCUUCAGAGCAGUUACAACAAAAGAUUCAAAAUGGGAACAACACAAAAUAAGGUAGAGAGCGUUGGAUAUACAGAUCAUCAAAAUGACUCAUAAGAUGGCCAUUUCGUGAAUGUCUGAAAUCAUGGUAGUGGAGACAAAGCUUUUUAUUCUGCACUGCAUGCACCUCAGGAAAAGGUGAUGGUGUAACAGGUCUGGUUGAAAGCAACAGAGCAUGAGGCCGUGGCCCCUGCAGGGAAAGAAGGGAGCUAUACCAGCGUGUGGACGUGGACCCAGUAAGGAGAAGCAGUGCACACAGGAAACCAACUUUGCACCUCUUCAGUGUUUCUUCCUUUAGCCAGCCAUUUUACCUAUAAAUUCACCUCUUAGGAAUGUUAUACAGAAUUUAAAAGAGAUAAAGAGUGCUGAAUUUCUUGGAAGAAAGAUAAGCAAGUGUUCCACCAUGACCACGUCUUGAAAGAUUAUGAAGAAUGGAGAUGGAGUAUAAUGGCUUGCAUAUAAAACAUAGCAUUAAUUCAGAAUUUUACUAGCUUAAUUUUCUUUUGUUAGAUGUGGUACUAAGUGUCACCUAUUGAAGGAAUAAACAAAACUGUGAAAAGAAUGGUAAGAGUUCAGAUUCUUUUGGAGGACCCUAGUGACCUGUGUUUACUUACAAAUGUUGCUGUUGGUAGAAGAGAACAAUGAGGGGGUAGAGGGAAAAGAAAGAAAACAUAGUGAUCGUAGUGGUAGGUAUUUUCUCACAGGAUUUUUUUAGUCCUCAACUGUGAGAUAGCUAUUAUUAUCUCCAGUUUACAGUAGGGAAAGCCAUAGAAAACUUAAGUAACAUGCCCAAACUAGCAUUUUGCAUAGCCAGUUAAGUGGCAGAGCUCCCAAACCCAAAAUUAAAUCUCCUAGAUGCCAACACUCACAUUCUUUCCACAGCAGUAAUUAAGGGUCCCAGUAGAUGUGAAAUCAGGCCUGGCAGGGCUUCUGCUUACAAACAUGUUGAGAACAAUUAGUUCACGUGAUUAUAAAAUAUCUGUUACUACAGUUACAUUUUAAAAUACCAGUUUUACAGUCUAGAAAUUUCCAAGUAAAUUUUCUGCAAAUGUUUUUGAUCCGUGACAUAAAUUUCCUUAUCCUCUUGGCUGGAAAAGGGAGUCUUUGAAAAGGCUGUUUCUUCCUCCACUAGCGGCCUUCUUGCUUUGCAAUUGUCAAAAGAUUAAAAAGACCUUUCUGAAAGGCUUUCUUAGGCUUCUAGUAUAUAAAUUUCUUCCACUCACUGCUUCCCUAAGCUGCUUUUAUUUUCAGGCUUUAAGAGAUUUUCUGGAGACACUUUUCCAACGAGUCCGACACCAACCCUCAGGCUGCUUAUGGAAAUGGAAUUGCAAACACACGGCUCUUGCACCAUGGGCAUAUCAAAAUGUGAAACAUGUUUCAGAUUACAAGGUUAUCCAGUAACCUUAACCAUUCAACACGAAAUCACAAGAUUUCAGGGCUAAAAGGGACCACUGAGAACAUUGAAUCCAUCUCCUCAAAUAUGUUUGAAAUUCCUUAAGAUGAAGCACGACGUACCUAGUAAAGCUGAUUCCUUCAAAAGCCUUUACCUCAGUGUGGAACUUCCUUGUUAAAGGCAUUUUAUUACAUGUAAUUUUCAGCAUUAUGGCAUGGUAACAACUCCUGAGUAUGAACAAUCUAGCUAAAUCUGAUUUGUGCCUAUAAACAAUAUUAUAACAGGGCAAUGAAUUUCAGACUCUGUUCCCAUUCCAAAAGCUGGACCAUGGAGUUUCACUAUUAAAACUUAAUGACAGUGGUCUUUUUCAAAUGUGUAGUAAAAAAUUAAAUUAACUAAUAGAAUUGUGUCUGCUAAAAUUUGUAACCCCAUAUACUUUUAAAGCUUUUUCUAUAUAAGUCUUUAGUAUAAAAUAUUAUCUUAU
Equus caballus (horse) is the source of this 2199-nucleotide long non-coding RNA. RefSeq lists it as uncharacterized. NCBI's taxonomy places the organism in Eukaryota, Metazoa, Chordata, Mammalia, Perissodactyla, Equidae. The record is from RefSeq and is a predicted model, not a curated record.